AAUGAACGCUGGCGGCAUGCCUAACACAUGCAAGUCGAACGAAGGCUUCGGCCUUAGUGGCGCACGGGUGCGUAACGCGUGGGAAUCCGCCCUCAGGUUCGGAAUAACAGCGAGAAAUUGCUGCUAAUACCGGAUGAUAUCGCGAGAACACGGAUUUAUCGCCUGAGGAUGAGCCCGCGUAGGAUUAGAUAGUUGGUGUGGUAAAGGUGCACCAAGGCGACGAUCCUUAGCUGGUCUGAGAGGAUGAUCAGCCACACUGGGACUGAGACACGGACCAGACUCCUACGGGAGGCAGCAGUGGGGAAUAUUGGACAAUGGGCGAAAGCCUGAUCCAGCAAUGCCGCGUGAGUGAUGAAGGCCUUAGGGUUGUAAAGCUCUUUUACCCGGGAUGAUAAUGACAGUACCGGGAGAAUAAGCUCCGGCUAACUCCGUGCCAGCCGCCGCAGUAA
This 449-nucleotide ribosomal RNA is filed under the name uncultured bacterium. RNAcentral describes it as "partial 16S ribosomal RNA". It matches the Rfam family "Bacterial small subunit ribosomal RNA", at positions 29 to 523 of the family's 1533-position model. The record is from RNAcentral.